Molecule: ribosomal RNA, 345 nt
Filed under: uncultured Clostridium sp.
Lineage: Bacteria; Bacillati; Bacillota; Clostridia; Eubacteriales; Clostridiaceae
Description: bacterial SSU rRNA
Rfam family: Bacterial small subunit ribosomal RNA
Source: RNAcentral
UGGGGAAUAUUGCGCAAUGGGGGCAACCCUGACGCAGCAACGCCGCGUGAAGGAUGACGGUCUUCGGAUUGUAAACUUCUUUAAGUGUGGAAGAAAUUGACGGUACACACAGAAUAAGCCACGGCUAACUACGUGCCAGCAGCCGCGGUAAUACGUAGGUGGCGAGCGUUGUCCGGAUUUACUGGGUGUAAAGGGCGUGUAGGCGGGAUUACAAGUCAGAUGUGAAAUACCGGGGCUUAACUCCGGGGCUGCAUUUGAAACUGUAGUUCUUGAGUGCCGGAGAGGAAAGCGGAAUUCCUAGUGUAGCGGUGAAAUGCGUAGAUAUUAGGAGGAACACCAGUGGCG